UACUAGCGGUCCAAGUCGCAGCCAUAUUUAUUGGGUCUAAAACAUCCGUAGCUUGCUUAACAAGUCUCUUGUGAAAUUUUGUAUCUCAAAUACGAAACGUGCAAGAGAUACUGUUAAGCUAGAGACUGGAAGACGUAAGAAGUAUGUUCAAAGUAACGGUAAAAUGUGUUAAUCUUGAACAGACUAACAAGAGCGAAGGCAUCUUACGAGGACAGUUCUGACAGUAAGGGAUGAAGGCUAGGGGCGCAAAACGGAUUAGAUACCCCCGUA
Molecule: ribosomal RNA, 270 nt
Filed under: uncultured prokaryote
Description: partial 16S ribosomal RNA
Rfam family: Archaeal small subunit ribosomal RNA
Source: RNAcentral